Long non-coding RNA from Anolis carolinensis (green anole), 1176 nucleotides. RefSeq lists it as uncharacterized. The record is from RefSeq and is a predicted model, not a curated record. The transcript is spliced from 2 exons. Lineage: Eukaryota; Metazoa; Chordata; Lepidosauria; Squamata; Anolidae.
AAUAAAAUCUUUAUCUUUAUUAGUUUUAACAAAAUAUUUAAAAAGAAAGAGAAAAAUCUCAAAUUGGGAAAAAGAGAAUUAUAUAUAUAUAGUAACCUAAGAGAAUUAUAUAUAUAUAGUAACCUAUGGCUCUGAUACUAGGAGAAGGGGUCGUAAGACUCCUCGAGAGUCAGACUCUUUUGAGGAGCGUGAAAGGAAACGGCUCCGGGAUCUAUUUGCAGAACCAACAGAUGAGGACUCCUUUGAGGGUUUUACCGAGGGAAUGGAGGAAGAAAUGGUUAGCUCGGAGGAGGAUGACAUGGAAUGGACUCAUGUAAGAGAGGAUUUGGGUGUCACCGGCAAUCAAAGCAUGGGAGGCGAUUGGCGGGUUGCAGGAUCAGACCCAUGGACGGGCUGGAGGGAUGGAGCGGGAUCCACAGCUGGGGAUGCUGUGGGGCGUAGUCAAAGGCGUUGUAGCUCUGAUGAGGAUGAUGAUGGGACACCUGGAAUUGGGAUGGCAGCUGAUAGCGAUGAUGAAGUUUGAACUGGGAUAAAAUGGGGUUUAGGAUCAAUGGCUAAUUGCGUUGGGCAAGGUAAUCUGGACGAACGCUUGGGCUCUUGUUGGGGAACUUCCUGAAGACGGGUGUGAUUCGUUUGCUGGAUACCUUGGACCUCCGUCGUCUUUUUGACGGACAUUAACUACCUACACUGGAUUGACGAAUGGACUGAUUGACCUCGACCUCGGAUUACUCCUUCUGUGGCUAUCGGUGACACUUGUGGAAUUCUAGACGUCUACACUUGGCUUCGACCUCGGACCGGAUUGGGACCCUGCUGACUGCCGUUACCCUGAUUGAUGUGCCUGGACCCGGAUAUCGCUUGUUGCACGGAGGAGUAAACAGUCUGAUUUACUCAGCUCUAGUUUUUGAGUAGCAGAGAAGAAUCUGCUGCCAGUUUAUUGUUUUCAUUCGGACCUCUGUUAAUCCUCUUUUGUUUGCCUUAUUUGCCUGGCUGAAGUAAGCACUUUUGAUUUAACCCGGAUUAAACUUCUGUUUAAUCCGGCUUAUUCUUUUGAACUGUUUUAGCUCAAAUGGAGCAGUUUUCUGUUACUUAUCACACUGAAGUCAAGUGUUUGCCCUGUUUUUUGUUUAUUACAGGCAUUCUUAGUUCUGUAACCUCAAUAAACUGUGUUUUACUCUA